Molecule: ribosomal RNA, 560 nt
Filed under: uncultured bacterium
Lineage: Bacteria
Description: partial 16S ribosomal RNA
Rfam family: Bacterial small subunit ribosomal RNA
Source: RNAcentral
UGGGGAAUUUUGGACAAUGGGGGAAACCCUGAUCCAGCCAUCCCGCGUGUGCGAUGAAGGCCUUCGGGUUGUAAAGCACUUUUGGCAGGAAAGAAACGUCGCGGGUUAAUACCCCGCGAAACUGACGGUACCUGCAGAAUAAGCACCGGCUAACUACGUGCCAGCAGCCGCGGUAAUACGUAGGGUGCAAGCGUUAAUCGGAAUUACUGGGCGUAAAGCGUGCGCAGGCGGUUCGGAAAGAAAGAUGUGAAAUCCCAGAGCUUAACUUUGGAACUGCAUUUUUAACUACCGGGCUAGAGUGUGUCAGAGGGAGGUGGAAUUCCGCGUGUAGCAGUGAAAUGCGUGGAUAUGCGGAGGAACACCGAUGGCGAAGGCAGCCUCCUGGGAUAACACUGACGCUCAUGCACGAAAGCGUGGGGAGCAAACAGGAUUAGAUACCCUGGUAGUCCACGCCCUAAACGAUGUCAACUAGCUGUUGGGGGCCUUCGGGCCUUGGUAGCGCAGCUAACGCGUGAAGUUGACCGCCUGGGGAGUACGGUCGCAAGAUUAAAACUCAAAGG